CGGCUAAGACACUACUCCUGCCAAAUACCCUGCAGUAGCGCACCGCGCUAUGUCUCCCUCCAGGGAUCUGUACCACUCCCAAUCCUGUUUCGUGCUGGGAUUGUAGUCUUGUAAACCUACAACUAACACCUGGGUGCGGAUAAGAGACUACAGCUCCCAUCAUUCCCAGCAAAGGGCCGUUCUGCACCGAGCUCUUUCAGGAUUCCAGUGCAGUUCCGCCAUGCGGAGGGAAGCUUGGCUGUUCACAAACCUCUCCUGCACUCGAGGAGACAGCUUGGCCGGGGCAGCUGAUCUCACCUUGUCAUUGUGACACGGUGUCUCCCCAACGUGCCGACUUCAUGACUUGUCGUGCCCAAAGUUUACUUUCUCGCAGAACCGGUAGAGGCCAAGAGCUUCUCAGAGCUUCCGCCGCAGGGUUGCCAUGAUUAACUCUUAAGUACUCCACGCUUCUGAAACGGGCGUAGGCACAGCGUCAGUUCUGUACAGUGCGGACGCAGCAGGACAGAAUCUCCCUGGGCAUCUUUCUGGAGCAUCAGUUUUACUGCAAGAUUUUAAGAAACAAAUUUAAUUGAUUUCCAAGUUAAGAAAUUAAACCUUGAAAACUAGACUAAAAAGUCAUCUGCACCUGACGUAACAGACUUUCUGCAGGAAGAAAACUCUAAGGAGAGCAUAUUGUCCAUUAUUAUAAAUAGUGAAAAUGAGAAAUCAUAGCAAGUCCCUUGAAAACCCUGCCCUGCCAGUCUUCUAAUAGGGCCUUGGUAUGGUUUUAUGUGUAUUUUCUUUUUGAAGUGUGCUCACCUUUUGAAUAUACAAAUUUGGGGUUUUGACCAAAUUUUGCAAGUUUUCGGCUAUUGUUUAUUUGCUUUUGUAUCACAUUUAAUUUUUCUGUCUCUCCCUCUCCUUCUCGGACUCAGUCAUUCCACAGGUCUCCAAGGCGCUUUUCAUUUUCUUCAAACUUGUUUCACUCUUCAGAUUGGAUGAUUUCUAUUGCUGUCUUCUGUUUCUACUGUUUAUAAACUCAACGGUCUUUUUAAUUUUUCAUUUCAUUAUCUCUCUAUUCCAUUCUUUUCAUCAUUUCCAUUUCUCUGCUGAGGCUCCACAUGAGUUAAUUCAUUAUGAGGAUGUUUUCCUUUAUCCCCAUGAACAUACUAUACUUAUAAUAGCUGCUCUCAAACCCUUGUCUGCUGAUGACAUCGUCUUGGACAUCUUAGAAUUAGCUUCUGCUGCCUGCUUUUUAUCUUGUGUAUAGAUUACAUUUUAACGUUUCUUCACACAUUUCAUGAAUUUUAAUAUUGUGUACUAGAAAUUAUAAAUAGUAGUUAUAGAGACUUUAAAUUCUGUUGUAUUCCUUUGAAGAGCAUUGUUACUUGAAGAGGGGUUAAUCUGACUGGAUUCAAACAGCAAUACCUACCUCCCCUACAGUGGACACAGUUGAAAUCCUCAUUCGGUGAACACACACACGCAUGUAUUGUAUAUAGUUGUGCAUUUCUGUGUAACUAUAUAUAUUUUAUCCAGAUUUUCUCGUUACCUGUGAGAGUGUUCAACAAGCUACUCUAGCAUUACUGAAAGUCAGAACCUCAGUUUUGUUUGCUUAUUGGAUUUGAAUACAUAAUGCCUUUGUUUUCUUUUGUAACAUUUUUCAAUUUGAAGUCUUAUUUUGUCCGAUAUUAAUAUAGGACAACCCAAAUCUCUUUUGCUUAUUAUUUGCAUGAAAUAUCUGUUUUUCUCUUUUCACUUUCAACCAGUUGUGUCUUUCAGUCUAAUGUGAGUCUUGUACAAACAUGAUAGUUGCAUCAUGUUUUUUAGUCUGUUUUGCUGAUCUCUGCCUUUUAAUUUGAUAGUUCAAUCCAUUUACAUUUAAAAUAAUUAUUCAUAGGUAGAUUUCUGUCAUUUUGCUAUUUGUUUUCUGUAUACCUUACGUCUUUUUAUUUUACAUUUUCUACAUUAUUUUCUUCUUAUGUAUUGGGUUAAUUUUUUUUAGUAAAAUAUUUUAACUUUUUAUUUCCUUUGUGUAUAUUCUAUAGCUUCUUUUUGUGAUUACCAUCAUGGUGAUGACAUUUAACAUCAGAAUUUAUUUAUUUUAAUUGCUGCAUAGUACUAUAUUCAAUUAUAUGAACAUAGUAUAAUUUUUAAAUCUAUUCUACUUUUGAUAGUCAUCACUGGGAUAUUUAAUAUGACUUAUUUUUUAGAUGAGUAUCGAGUUUACAUAAACAUUGAGCGGAACAUACAGAGUUCCCAUAUAUCCUCUCCCCACACCCAGCUUCUCCUCUAUUAUUAACACCUUACAUUAGUGUGGCAUAUUUGUUACUCUUAAUGAACUAAUAUAGAAAAGUUAUUAACUAAAAUCUAAAGUUUGCAUUCGAAUUCAUGUUUUCUGUUUUACACUCUGUGGAUUUUGACAAAUGCAUGAUGACAUGACAUGUAUCCAUUAUUGCAUUAUACAAAAUAGUUUUAUUGUCUUAAAAUAUCCACUGUACUCCAUCUAUUCAUCUCACCCCUUUUCCCCCCAAACUUUUGGAAAGCACAGGUCUUCUUACUGUGUCCAUGGUUUUGCCUUUUACAGAAUGUCAUAUAGUUGGAAUCCUAUAGUAUGUAGCCUUUUCAGACUGUCUUUUUCACAGCCAUAUGUAUUUAAGGUUCCUCACGUCUUUUCAAGCCUUGACAGCUCAUUUUUUUAAAUCAGUGAAUAAUGUUCUGUUGUAUGCUUGCACCACAGCCAGUUUAUUUAUUUACCUAUUGAAGAACAUUAUUUACCUAUUAAAAACAUUAUUUACCUAUUGAAGACCAUCUUGGUUGGUUCCAUGUUUUGGCAAUUAUGUAUAAAAGUGCUCUAAACAGUCACCUGCGGAGUUUUGUGCAGAUGAAAGUUUUCACCUCUUUUGGAUUAAGGCCAAAGAGUGUGAUUGCUGGAUUGUAUGUAAGUGUGUUUCUAGCUCUGUAAGAAACUGGCAAACUGUCUUCCAAACUAGUCAUAGGACUUUGCAUUUUCACCAACAAGCUCUUGUUAUUCUACAUCCUCACCAGCAUUUAGUGUAGCCCCUGUUUUGGAUUUUAGCCAUUCUAAUAUGUGUGUGGCAGUAUGCCAUUGUUAUUUUCAAUUUCCCAAUGACACGCUGUUGAGCAUAUUUUCAUGUGCUUAUUUGCCAUGCUUAUAUGUUCUUUAGUAAGGAUCUGUAUCUUUUGCCAUUUUAUAAUUGGGUUGUUCAUUUCUUAUUCUUGGGUUUUAAGAGCUCUGGAAUUUUUUGCAUAUUUUUGAUACCAGUCUUUUAUCAGUUAUGUGUUUUGCAAAUAUUUUCUCCCAUUCUGUGGCUUGUCUUUUUAUUUUUUAACAGUGUCUGACAAUGCAGAAAUGUUAUUUUUAAUAUGGUUCAACUUAGCAACUUUUCCUUUCAUGGAUCAUGUUUUUGGUGUUUUUGUUUUUGUUUUUCUUUGUGACAGAGUCUCGCCCUGUCACCCAGGCUAGAGUGCAGUGGUGCAAUCUUGGCUCACUGCACCCUCCUCCUCCUGGGUUCAAGCAAUUCUCCUGCCUCAGCCUCCUGAGUAGCUGGGAUUACAGGC
This 3558-nucleotide long non-coding RNA is filed under the name Homo sapiens (human). Its description in RNAcentral is "HSALNT0341128". Lineage: Eukaryota; Metazoa; Chordata; Mammalia; Primates; Hominidae. The record is from RNAcentral.